GAUGAACGCUGGCGGCGUGCCUAAUACAUGCAAGUCGAGCGAACAGACGAGGAGCUUGCUCCUCUGACGUUAGCGGCGGACGGGUGAGUAACACGUGGAUAACCUACCUAUAAGACUGGGAUAACUUCGGGAAACCGGAGCUAAUACCGGAUAAUAUAUUGAACCGCAGGGUUCAAUAGUGAAAGACGGUUUUGCUGUCACUUAUAGAUGGAUCCGCGCCGCAUUAGCUAGUUGGUAAGGUAACGGCUUACCAAGGCGACGAUGCGUAGCCGACCUGAGAGGGUGAUCGGCCACACUGGAACUGAGACACGGUCCAGACUCCUACGGGAGGCAGCAGUAGGGAAUCUUCCGCAAAGGGCGAAAGCCUGACGGAGCAACGCCGCGUGAGUGAUGAAGGUCUUCGGAUCGUAAAACUCUGUUAUUAGGGAAGAACAAAUGUGUAAGUAACUAUGCACGUCUUGACGGUACCUAAUCAGAAAGCCCCGGCUAACUACGUG
This 497-nucleotide ribosomal RNA is filed under the name uncultured bacterium. RNAcentral describes it as "partial 16S ribosomal RNA". It matches the Rfam family "Bacterial small subunit ribosomal RNA", at positions 28 to 507 of the family's 1533-position model. The record is from RNAcentral.